RNAcentral lists this small nuclear RNA (20 nucleotides) under Arabidopsis thaliana (thale cress). RNAcentral describes it as "snRNA_14582". Lineage: Eukaryota; Viridiplantae; Streptophyta; Magnoliopsida; Brassicales; Brassicaceae. The record is from RNAcentral.
GACUUGGCACUUCAUGCCAG